This 80-nucleotide ribosomal RNA is filed under the name Acidaminococcus intestini RyC-MR95. Lineage: Bacteria; Bacillati; Bacillota; Negativicutes; Acidaminococcales; Acidaminococcaceae. The record is from RNAcentral.
CACCUGUUCCCAUGCCGAACACAGCAGUUAAGCCCUUAAACGCCGAAAGUACUCGACUGGAAACGGUCCGGGAGGAUAGG